ACCGUAACUUCGGGAGAAGGUGCGCCGGCGAAGGUGAAGGGCUUGCCCCGUAAGCUUUUGCUGGUCGAAGAUACCAGGCCGCUGCGACUGUUUAUUAAAAACACAGCACUCUGCAAACACGAAAGUGGACGUAUAGGGUGUGACGCCUGCCCGGUGCCGGAAGGUUAAUUGAUGGGGUUAGCGCAAGCGAAGCUCUUGAUCGAAGCCCCGGUAAACGGCGGCCGUAACUAUAACGGUCCUAAGGUAGCGAAAUUCCUUGUCGGGUAAGUUCCGACCUGCACGAAUGGCGUAACGAUGGCGGCGCUGUCUCCACCCGAGACUCAGUGAAAUUGAAAUCGCUGUGAAGAUGCAGUGUAUCCGCGGCUAGACGGAAAGACCCCGUGAACCUUUACUAUAGCUUUGCACUGGACUUUGAAUUUGCUUGUGUAGGAUAGGUGGGAGGCUUUGAAGUGGGGACGCCAGUUCUCAUGGAGCCAUCCUUGAAAUACCACCCUGGCAACUUUGAGGUUCUAACUCAGGUCCGUUAUCCGGAUCGAGGACAGUGUAUGGUGGGUAGUUUGACUGGGGCGGUCUCCUCCCAAAGAGUAACGGAGGAGUACGAAGGUGCGCUCAGACCGGUCGGAAAUCGGUCGUAGAGUAUAAAGGCAAAAGCGCGCUUGACUGCGAGACACACACGUCGAGCAGGUACGAAAGUAGGUCUUAGUGAUCCGGUGGUUCUGUAUGGAAGGGCCAUCGCUCAACGGAUAAAAGGUACUCCGGGGAUAACAGGCUGAUACCGCCCAAGAGUUCAUAUCGACGGCGGUGUUUGGCACCUCGAUGUCGGCUCAUCACAUCCUGGGGCUGAAGCCGGUCCCAAGGGUAUGGCUGUUCGCCAUUUAAAGUGGUACGCGAGCUGGGUUUAGAACGUCGUGAGACAGUUCGGUCCCUAUCUGCCGUGGACGUUUGAGAUUUGAGAGGGGCUGCUCCUAGUACGAGAGGACCGGAGUGGACGAACCUCUGGUGUUCCGGUUGUCACGCCAGUGGCAUUGCCGGGUAGCUAUGUUCGGAAGAGAUAACCGCUGAAAGCAUCUAAGCGGGAAACUUGCCUCAAGAUGAGAUCUCACUGGGAUCUUGAAUCCCCUAAAGGGCCGUCGAAGACUACGACGUUGAUAGGUUGGGUGUGUAAGCGCUGUGAGGCGUUGAGCUAACCAAUACUAAUUGCCCGUGAGGCUUGACCAUAUAACACCCAAGCAAUUUGCU
This 1239-nucleotide ribosomal RNA is filed under the name Pseudomonas sp. URIL14HWK12:I3. RNAcentral describes it as "bacterial LSU rRNA". It matches the Rfam family "Bacterial large subunit ribosomal RNA", at positions 1727 to 2925 of the family's 2925-position model. The record is from RNAcentral. Lineage: Bacteria; Pseudomonadati; Pseudomonadota; Gammaproteobacteria; Pseudomonadales; Pseudomonadaceae.